CCGUGCAAGUGACUAUGUUCAACGGCCGCGGGAUCCUAACAGUGCAAAGGUAGCAUAAUAACUUGCCCAUUAAUUGUGGGCUAGAAUGAAAGGACUAACGAAAUAUAAGCUGUCUCUAUAAGUAAUAAAUAAAUUAAUCUCUAACUGAAGAGUGUUAGAUAAAAUCGAAGGACAAGAAGACCCUAUAGAGCUUUAUCUAAACAAAGAAACAAACUUUGUCAAAGAUUCGGUUGGGGCGACCAGGGAUAUUUAUAAUCACCCCUAAAUACAAGACUAAUUAAUCACAUAAAUGACCCUUUAUAAAGAUCACCAGAACAAGCUACCUUAGGGAUAACAGGCUAAUCCCGCUUGAGAGUCCUUAUUUAUAGCGGGGGUUGGCACCUCGAUGUUGGCUUAGAGUAUCUAUGAGGCGCAAAAGUUUCAUAAUGAUGGUUUGUUCAACCAAUAAUACUCUACAUGAGCUGAGUUCAGACCGGCGUAAGCCAGGUUAGUUUCUAUCCUCGAUAAUAUAAGUCUAUCUGCAGUACGAAAGGACCUAGAUACGAAUAAUAAUUAUAUAACAAGAAUAAAUAUAAAAUAAUUAAAUAACCAUUUCUAUAUACUA
Molecule: ribosomal RNA, 604 nt
Filed under: Zophoscolex zhongi
Lineage: Eukaryota; Metazoa; Annelida; Clitellata; Crassiclitellata; Lumbricidae
Description: partial large subunit ribosomal RNA
Rfam family: Bacterial large subunit ribosomal RNA
Source: RNAcentral